RNAcentral lists this small nuclear RNA (303 nucleotides) under Panthera tigris altaica (Amur tiger). RNAcentral describes it as "7SK RNA (ENSPTIG00000001761.1)". It matches the Rfam family "7SK RNA". From Rfam's summary of the family: 7SK was discovered as an abundant small nuclear RNA in the mid-70s but a possible function has only recently been suggested. Two independent studies have found that 7SK RNA binds the CDK9/cyclin T complex (known as elongation factor P-TEFb). The record is from Rfam by way of RNAcentral. Lineage: Eukaryota; Metazoa; Chordata; Mammalia; Carnivora; Felidae.
AGAUGUGAGGGCGAUCUGGCUGUGAUAUCUGUCACCCCAUUGAUUUGAUCGCCAGGGUUGAUUUAGCUGACCUGGCUCGCUAAGCAGGUGUCUCUCCCUCUUCCCUCACCACUCCAUGUGUGCCCCUCCCAAAGCUGUGUGCUUAGUUGAAAGGGAUGAUCUUCCCUGAUAGAGGAGUACUGUUCUUUGGUCAAGGAUAUAUGAGUAGCUACAUUCCCCUGCUAGAAUCCCCAAGACACUCUCAAAGUUACUGUGAAUUGCAUAAUAUGAUUUCAAAGAAAAGGAAACAUUUGGAAAAUGUCC